Molecule: RNA transcript, 526 nt
Organism: Rattus norvegicus (Norway rat)
Lineage: Eukaryota; Metazoa; Chordata; Mammalia; Rodentia; Muridae
Source: RefSeq, a predicted model, not a curated record
GUAUGUUCUUUUCCUUCCCUCCCUCCCUCUGUCCUUUCCUUCCUCCCUCUCUUCUUCCCCUUCUGUCCGUCUCUCUGUCUCUCUGUCUCUCUAUCUCUCUCUGUGUCUGUCUGUCUGUCUGUCUCUCUCUCUGUCUCUCUGUCUCUCUCUCUGUCUCUCUGUCUCUGUCUCUGUCUCUGUCUCUGUCUCUGUCUCUGUCUCUCUCUCUCCAUUUCUUUACCCACCUCCCCUUACACCCCGGCUCCUCCAGGAACAUCUGGCGUUAAAGGGUGGGUGAGAAGUCCACUUGGGAUGAAGGAUGUCUUGGCAAAGAGCAGGUACAAGGAAAGACCAUGUGAUGGAUCUUCUUGAUUCCCAACUUGACUACAUCUGGAAGGAACUACAAUCCAGAAAUGGAGGGCAUGCCGGACACACAAGAUCAUCUGGACUGAAUGAGUCUGGAGGAGACAAAGACCCUGACCUAGAGGCAGGAGAAGCUGAGAAGUACCAGAGAGAGAGGGAGAGAAAGGUUAGAGAUUGAUGGAGG